This 27-nucleotide non-coding RNA is filed under the name Rattus norvegicus (Norway rat). The record is from RNAcentral. Lineage: Eukaryota; Metazoa; Chordata; Mammalia; Rodentia; Muridae.
CACUGUCCCGAUAACCCAGGAAUACAG